This 500-nucleotide ribosomal RNA is filed under the name uncultured bacterium. RNAcentral describes it as "partial 16S ribosomal RNA". It matches the Rfam family "Bacterial small subunit ribosomal RNA", at positions 30 to 523 of the family's 1533-position model. The record is from RNAcentral.
AUUGAACGCUGGCGGCAUGCUUUACACAUGCAAGUCGAGCGGUAACAGGGUGCUUGCACCGCUGACGAGUGGCGAACGGGUGAGUAAUGCGUCGGAACGCACCGAGUAAUGGGGGAUAACGCAGCGAAAGUUGUGCUAAUACCGCAUACGCUCUGAGGAGGAAAGCGGGGGACCUUCGGGCCUCGCGUUAUUCGAGCGGCCGACGUCUGAUUAGCUAGUAGGUGAGGUAAGAGCUCACCUAGGCGACGAUCAGUAGCGGGUCUGAGAGGAUGAUCCGCCAACCUGGGACUGAGACACGGCCCAGACUCCUACGGGAGGCAGCAGUGGGGAAUUUUGGAUAAUGGGCGCAAGCCUGAUCCAGCCAUGCCGCGUGUCUGAAGAAGGCCUUCGGGUUGUAAAGGACUUUUGUCAGGGAGGAAAUCCCUAAGGUUAAUACCCUUGGGGGAUGACAGUACCUGAAGAAUAAGCACCGGCUAACUACGUGCCAGCCACCGCGGUAA